GAUUAAGUUAUUAAGGGCGCACGGUGGAUGCCUUGGCACUAGAAGCCGAUGAAGGACGUUACUAACGACGAUAUGCUUUGGGGAGCUGUAAGUAAGCUUUGAUCCAGAGAUUUCCGAAUGGGGAAACCCAGCAUGAGUUAUGUCAUGUUAUCGAUAUGUGAAUACAUAGCAUAUCAGAAGGCACACCCGGAGAACUGAAACAUCUUAGUACCCGGAGGAAGAGAAAGAAAAUUCGAUUCCCUUAGUAGCGGCGAGCGAAACGGGAAGAGCCCAAACCAACAAGCUUGCUUGUUGGGGUUGUAGGACACUCUAUACGGAGUUACAAAGGACGACAUUAGACGAAUCAUCUGGAAAGAUGAAUCAAAGAAGGUAAUAAUCCUGUAGUCGAAAAUGUUGUCUCUCUUGAGUGGAUCCUGAGUACGACGGAGCACGUGAAAUUCCGUCGGAAUCUGGGAGGACCAUCUCCUAAGGCUAAAUACUCUCUAGUGACCGAUAGUGAACCAGUACCGUGAGGGAAAGGUGAAAAGCACCCCGGAAGGGGAGUGAAAUAGAACCUGAAACCGUGUGCUUACAAGUAGUCAGAGCCCGUUAAUGGGUGAUGGCGUGCCUUUUGUAGAAUGAACCGGCGAGUUACGAUUUGAUGCAAGGUUAAGCAGUAAAUGUGGAGCCGUAGCGAAAGCGAGUCUGAAUAGGGCGUUUAGUAUUUGGUCGUAGACCCGAAACCAGGUGAUCUACCCUUGGUCAGGUUGAAGUUCAGGUAACACUGAAUGGAGGACCGAACCGACUUACGUUGAAAAGUGAGCGGAUGAACUGAGGGUAGCGGAGAAAUUCCAAUCGAACCUGGAGAUAGCUGGUUCUCUCCGAAAUAGCUUUAGGGCUAGCCUCAAGUGAUGAUUAUUGGAGGUAGAGCACUGUUUGGACGAGGGGCCCCUCUCGGGUUACCGAAUUCAGACAAACUCCGAAUGCCAAUUAAUUUAACUUGGGAGUCAGAACAUGGGUGAUAAGGUCCGUGUUCGAAAGGGAAACAGCCCAGACCACCAGCUAAGGUCCCAAAAUAUAUGUUAAGUGGAAAAGGAUGUGGCGUUGCCCAGACAACUAGGAUGUUGGCUUAGAAGCAGCCAUCAUUUAAAGAGUGCGUAAUAGCUCACUAGUCGAGUGACACUGCGCCGAAAAUGUACCGGGGCUAAACAUAUUACCGAAGCUGUGGAUUGUCCUUUGGACAAUGGUAGGAGAGCGUUCUAAGGGCGUUGAAGCAUGAUCGUAAGGACAUGUGGAGCGCUUAGAAGUGAGAAUGCCGGUGUGAGUAGCGAAAGACGGGUGAGAAUCCCGUCCACCGAUUGACUAAGGUUUCCAGAGGAAGGCUCGUCCGCUCUGGGUUAGUCGGGUCCUAAGCUGAGGCCGACAGGCGUAGGCGAUGGAUAACAGGUU
RNAcentral lists this ribosomal RNA (1428 nucleotides) under Staphylococcus aureus. RNAcentral describes it as "partial 23S ribosomal RNA". It matches the Rfam family "Bacterial large subunit ribosomal RNA", at positions 1 to 1431 of the family's 2925-position model. The record is from RNAcentral. Lineage: Bacteria; Bacillati; Bacillota; Bacilli; Caryophanales; Staphylococcaceae.